RNAcentral lists this long non-coding RNA (249 nucleotides) under Elaeis guineensis (African oil palm). RNAcentral's name for it is "long non-coding RNA (EGUI_LNC045268)". The record is from RNAcentral. Lineage: Eukaryota; Viridiplantae; Streptophyta; Magnoliopsida; Arecales; Arecaceae.
CUGGUAUAGCACCCUGCCCACAGGUACCAAUCCCCACCUUACUUGCUCGUACAUCAGUAAUAUAAUUGUUACCCCUGGUCUGAAAUCUUUAUGGAGCAUUUGACUUUGGUGAGAGACUCCUAGCUGAAGCUUUAUUAGGAUAGUCCUUCCUUUGAUGAUCUCUUUGACCAUACUUGAAACAUCUUUUAGAUCCACUUCUAUAUUCUCCAUGAUGAAACUUUCCACAAAUACCACAUUGGGGGACUUGGC